RNAcentral lists this ribosomal RNA (253 nucleotides) under uncultured bacterium. RNAcentral describes it as "partial 16S ribosomal RNA". It matches the Rfam family "Bacterial small subunit ribosomal RNA", at positions 524 to 776 of the family's 1533-position model. The record is from RNAcentral.
UACAGAGGUCCCAAGCGUUGUUCGGAUUCACUGGGCGUAAAGGGUGCGUAGGUGGCGAGGUAAGUCGGAUGUGAAAGCUCGGAGCUCAACUCCGAAAUGGCAUUGGAAACUACCUUGCUUGAGGGUUGGAGGGGGGACUGGAAUUCUCGGUGUAGCAGUUAAAUGCGUAGAUAUCGAGAGGAACACCAGUGGCGAAGGCGGCUCACUGGCCCGGUACUGACGCUGAGGCGCGAAAGCGUGGGGAGCAAACAGG